CCGCGCUUGGUUUCCGCAGGAAUUGUCUGCCAGGCUUCUGGAGGCACCUGGGCCGUGUGGGUUCACAGCGGUCAUCCAGGGAAUGGAUGGACAUGCCCCCACCUCUGCUGAAUGGAGCCCCACCAUCCUUCAAUGACCAGCUGGCACCUCGUCCUUGACGUGCCCCAUCGCACUUCCUUCUCCCGCCCACGAGGACCUCGGUAAUGUCGCCCCUGAAACUGCUGCGGAACCUGGAGCCCACUGUAACCCAGAAUUGGAAUCCCAGCUCAGCCCCUGCACACCUGAUUGCCCGGAGAAAUGCCUUAUUCCUGACAGCCUCUUGGUUCUUUUCCGUCUCCGGUUAGGUGAGAAGGUCAAUCUGGCCCUGCGGGUUAUGUUGGGGGUUACAUGAGAACCUCAUUGGCAUGAAGAGGCCAGGCAGGUCCUCCGACAGUGCCACAGCCCCAGGCUUGUGCCGCCAAAUCACGGAGGCCUUCCGGGCCCUGAACACGAACCGGACGGGGCCUUCCCGCAUUACUACCCGAAUGACACUGCUGGGGGGACCGCUCUCUGGAUGCCAUUGUGGCCACGUGUCGGGACGGUCGGCUGCUUGACUCCACGACUUAAAGCUAGAUUUGGCCUUUUAAGCCUCUGUCUCAGUGCCCUCGGGUCCCUUCUGCAGCUCACCUACCUGUCCCUCGGCCUCUGGGGUGGGCUGGCAGGGCUCGUUCUGGGACCUACGUGGGGUGGCAGCAAUGGC
RNAcentral lists this long non-coding RNA (739 nucleotides) under Homo sapiens (human). RNAcentral describes it as "non-protein coding lnc-SGCG-5:6". The record is from RNAcentral. Lineage: Eukaryota; Metazoa; Chordata; Mammalia; Primates; Hominidae.